GACAGAGGGGGCAAGCGUUGCUCGGAAUUACUGGGCGUAAAGGGCGCGUAGGCGGGAUGGCAAGUCGGUCGUGAAAUCCCUCGGCUCAACUGAGGAGCGUCGAUCGAAACUGCCGUUCUUGAGGGUUGCAGAGGAGACUGGAAUUCCCGGUGCAGCGGUGAAAUGUGUAGAGAUCGGGAGGAACACCCGUGGCGAAAGCGGCGCGCUGGACCACUACUGACGCUGAGGAACGAAAGCUAGGGGAGCAAACAGG
Molecule: ribosomal RNA, 253 nt
Filed under: uncultured bacterium
Lineage: Bacteria
Description: partial 16S ribosomal RNA
Rfam family: Bacterial small subunit ribosomal RNA
Source: RNAcentral